This is a long non-coding RNA of Homo sapiens (human), 567 nucleotides long. Ensembl annotates it as PLCE1 antisense RNA 1. Its record names the gene PLCE1-AS1. The record is from Ensembl. Lineage: Eukaryota; Metazoa; Chordata; Mammalia; Primates; Hominidae.
AAAGACAAAGCCAGUGGAAUGGUCCGAGUGUGGCAUCCGCUGCAUUUAUAAAGAAUAAGAGCUGCAGUGGGUGUGAUUCUUGGACAGAGUGGCGCUCAUCCUUGUUCCUGCAAUGAAGGACAUGCCAGCCUCCAGGCUCUUUGACAGAUGAUUGGAACUGUGCAAAUAUUAUGGAAGAUACCCCGUGUCAAGAAGCUGACAGCACACACGUUUGGGAAGGAUUUAGUGGCUGAAGCACUUCUAGAAGAAUGCCAGAGCAAGAGUGUGAAACAGAGAGCACAGAGCCGUGAUGCUGCCCCCUGCCGGUGGUGCAGGAGAAAGGACGCAACCUCAGUCUACGACUCCUGCCAAGAUUAUCAGCCACGCUAGAAACUAAAGGGUGAAAACAGGGUUUCUCUGCUGCAAUUCCAUCUCUUCCUCUAGAAACUUGUCGUAGGAAUGACUCCCUGUAACUUCCCACACCUGCCUCUUCUUUCUGUAAGUGUUGGCUAACAGAAUCCCCUCCUUCCUCGGUCCUUGCUAAGUGACUGAAUUCAGAAACUCCUGGACAAUAUUACAACCAUCCGU